This 201-nucleotide long non-coding RNA is filed under the name Mytilus galloprovincialis (Mediterranean mussel). The record is from RNAcentral. Lineage: Eukaryota; Metazoa; Mollusca; Bivalvia; Mytilida; Mytilidae.
AUUUUAUUUCCAAUAGUGGACCCAUUACGGGCAUAAUCAGUACAUUGAAUUUUUUUUUAUCACACAAUUGCAAUAGACAAUAAACAAAAAUAAAAAUAGAGAUACGUUUGACAAAAAACAUGAAAUAUAAAUUGAGUUAAUAAUACAUGUAUUCACAUAUCAAAACCUGUAUGUUUAGUGAUUAUUGACCAUGCACCAGAA